This 624-nucleotide long non-coding RNA is filed under the name Chrysemys picta bellii (western painted turtle). Its description in RNAcentral is "lncRNA (ENSCPBG00000003086.1)". The record is from RNAcentral. Lineage: Eukaryota; Metazoa; Chordata; Testudines; Emydidae.
UAUCUUGUUUACAUUGAAACAAAUGCACCUUUCUUUUUUCCAAUUGUCUGCAUUACAGGUCUGCAAAGUCAUCUUAGUCCUCCUGCCCAAGCAAGACUGCUCCCUGCAGUAUUUUCUAGUGUGCUGUCCAGUCCAGCUUUAAAUGACCUAGCAGAAAGGGGUUUCUGCUACUUCCCUUCAGAGUCUCUCUCUCUCUCUAGUUUUGAAUACAUAGAGAUCAAUUUAGGUUUUAAUAUCUGCUGCAAGUCUCAAAUACAAAGGAGAACUUCUUGUUAUCCCUGCAUAGAAGAGUUCACAAGAAUACUAUCACUGAGCAAAAGAGCAAGAGCCCUAGAGCGAUUACAUGUGUCAACCACAGAAGAGCUAUGGGGUGUUACAGCGCCGACUGGACUGGAAUGUAUGGCUGCAAGACUUCUUCACCAGCGACAAAGGACAGGAAUAUGAUGCACCUAAAAUCUAAAAAGGCCCACACAUUUCCCAGAGUCACUACCCUUGAUAACAGAACAUCAAUGAUUGCAUGGGCUACUUGGAUCACAACAGCCCCCACAGUAGACUUGCCCACAACAGCAGCGGUGACUGUGAGCUGAGCGGGCUCCAUGCUUGCCGUGGUAUGGCGUCUGCAUG